UGAGGAAUAUUGCCCAAUGGGGGAAACCCUGAGGCAGCAACGCCGCCUGAACGAAGACGGCCUUCGGGUUGUAAAGUUCUUUUCUGGGGGACGAUAAUGACGGUACCCCAGGAAUAAGUUCCGGCUAACUACGUGCCAGCAGCCGCGGUAAAACGUAGGGGACAAGCGUUAUCCGGAUUUACUGGGCGUAAAGCGCACGUAGGCGGUAGGGUAAGUUGGCCGUGAAAGCUCCCGGCUUAACUGGGAGAGGUCGGACAAAACUGCCGGACUUGAGGCUGAGAGAGGAGAGCGGAAUUCCCGGUGUAGUGGUGGAAUGCGUAGAUAUCGGGAGGAACACCAGUGGCGAAGGCGGCUCUCUGGCUCAGAACUGACGCUGAGGUGCGAAAGCGUGGGGAGCGAAC
This 401-nucleotide ribosomal RNA is filed under the name uncultured bacterium. Its description in RNAcentral is "bacterial SSU rRNA". It matches the Rfam family "Bacterial small subunit ribosomal RNA", at positions 355 to 773 of the family's 1533-position model. The record is from RNAcentral.